RNAcentral lists this ribosomal RNA (471 nucleotides) under uncultured organism. RNAcentral's name for it is "partial 16S ribosomal RNA". It matches the Rfam family "Bacterial small subunit ribosomal RNA", at positions 335 to 797 of the family's 1533-position model. The record is from RNAcentral.
ACUCCUGCGGGAGGCAGCAGUGGGGAAUUUUGGACAAUGGGGGCAACCCUGAUCCAGCAAUGCCGCGUGAGUGAAGAAGGCCUUCGGGUUGUAAAGCUCUUUUGUCAGGGAAGAAACGGUGGUGGCGAAUAACUACUACUAAUGACGGUACCUGAAGAAUAAGCACCGGCUAACUACGUGCCAGCAGCCGCGGUAAUACGUAGGGUGCAAGCGUUAAUCGGAAUUACUGGGCGUAAAGCGUGCGCAGGCGGUUGUGUAAGUCAGAUGUGAAAUCCCCGGGCUCAACCUGGGAAUUGCAUUUGAGACUGCACGGCUAGAGUGUGUCAGAGGGGGGUAGAAUUCCACGUGUAGCAGUGAAAUGCGUAGAUAUGUGGAGGAAUACCGAUGGCGAAGGCAGCCCCCUGGGAUAACACUGACGCUCAUGCACGAAAGCGUGGGGAGCAAACAGGAUUAGAAACCCCUGUAGUCCCA